CGGGGCGUAGCGCAGUCUGGUUAGCGCGCUUGGUUCGGGACCAAGAGGUCGGAAGUUCGAAUCUUCUCGCCCCGA
This 75-nucleotide transfer RNA is filed under the name Aminomonas paucivorans DSM 12260. It matches the Rfam family "tRNA". Rfam says of the family: Transfer RNA (tRNA) molecules are approximately 80 nucleotides in length. Their secondary structure includes four short double-helical elements and three loops (D, anti-codon, and T loops). The record is from Rfam by way of RNAcentral. Lineage: Bacteria; Thermotogati; Synergistota; Synergistia; Synergistales; Synergistaceae. RNAcentral also lists the same sequence under 1 other name.